Molecule: non-coding RNA, 286 nt
Organism: Nylanderia fulva
Lineage: Eukaryota; Metazoa; Arthropoda; Insecta; Hymenoptera; Formicidae
Source: RefSeq, a predicted model, not a curated record
AAUUCCGCAAAAUAAAAGAAAACAAAAUAACGUGAUAAAAAAAAUACAAACCGAACAGAAGAAGAAUAAAGAUAAAGAAAGAGACAGAGAGAGCAAACAAGUUUCAAAUCUACGAAAGAAACGAAAUAUUUAUUCUAAAAACAAAGGUCUAAUUUAUCGAAAAGAUUCAGAUAGUGACAUAUCAGAUUAUGUAAUGAAUAUGAGCUCAAACAGUUCUAAUGAAAGUAUAAACAGCGAAAACAGAAAAAGGAAGCGCAAAAAUCAAUCAUGUCGUGAAACAUAUAAG